ACGGGUGCGUAACACGUGGGUAAUCUGCCCUUCGAUGGGGAAUAACUCCGGGAAACCGAAGCUAAUUCCGCAUAACAUUCCUUGAACCUCGGUUUGGGGACUCAAAGCCGUAAGGCGUCGGAGGAGGAACCCGCGCACGAUUAGCUAGUUGGUAGGGUAACGGCCUACCAAGGCUUUGAUCGUUAGCUGGUCUGAGAGGAUGAUCAGCCACACUGGGACUGAGACACGGCCCAGACUCCUACGGGAGGCAGCAGUGGGGAAUAUUGGACAAUGGGGGCAACCCUGAUCCAGCAAUGCCGCGUGUGUGAAGAAGGCCUUCGGGUUGUAAAGCACUUUUAUCCGGAACGAAACGCGCAGGGUGAAUAGCUCUGUGAACUGACGGUACCGGAAGAAUCAGCACCGGCUAACUUCGUGCCAGCAGCCGCGG
Molecule: ribosomal RNA, 427 nt
Filed under: uncultured bacterium
Lineage: Bacteria
Description: bacterial SSU rRNA
Rfam family: Bacterial small subunit ribosomal RNA
Source: RNAcentral